RNAcentral lists this long non-coding RNA (2161 nucleotides) under Homo sapiens (human). RNAcentral's name for it is "HSALNT0322528". The record is from RNAcentral. Lineage: Eukaryota; Metazoa; Chordata; Mammalia; Primates; Hominidae.
AGAAGCCUCCAAGCUUUUAUCAAAGCUGCUGGUGACCUACCCAUUCCUCCCAUUCAGGAGAGAAAUUAUUCAUUAUCUUGAAAUGUAAGUGAAUUUCCUCUGGGAAGAGGAAGAAGGCCCCUCUAGGUUUAUCACCCUGGAAUGUAACACACUCUGGGGUUUGGGAGGUGGAUAUUAAUAUCAUUAUGCGCUUUCUCACCUACAGAAGACUAGUCUGAACUUGUGGCAGGAACCUAGCCAGCUUGAUUGCCUGCUAAAACAAAAAUAUCAACAUUCUUAAUAGGAUUUAAAUAAGAUCCAGCAUCUCAAAACAGAAUAUUCAAAAUAUCCAUGAUACGGUCCAAAAUUACAAAGCAAACAAACAAAAAAAAAAACAACAAGAAAAUCUCAAUUCAUAUAGGGAAAAAAAAGGACAAUGCUGAGAUAACACAGAUGAUAAAAUUGUCUGAUGAAGGCUUUAAAGCAACUACUAAUAUUUGUUAGGAGUCUAUUCUCCAUUGGUCUCUUGCAUUUCUACAGGUGUUCUAGGCAAAGGCAUUAACAGCUUUUUCUCUGAACUAUCUUUUUUAGCUGUUUGUAUAGCAAACAUCCUUGGAAGAUAGAAUGUCUUCCUUUGGGACCAAGGACAGAUUUUUUUCCUUCCAGGAUGAAAAAAAAAAGAUAAUGUCUCUCUCCAGGGCAAGGCUGGGCAGGUUUGCUGGCCCUUUAUUGAAGACUGGUGUUUCCCACAGCAUUCAUAAAUCCCACUACAUAUACAGGUAUCACCAGGCCCUCACAGCAUCACUGUGUGGGAACUGAGGCUCAGAAAACUGGGUUAAAUGCUGAUACUCUGCCUCCUGCUAUUCGUGUGGGUAAUAAACUGUCCUUUGUCUCUGACCCAGGAGUCUCGUGUCUUCUGUCACUAUUCAUGAAAUUGUGGCAGCCUAACUUGUUAACUUGCAAGUAAGGUAAAAUAUCAGACCCUCCAAAGUUCUUGACUUUGUUAUAACAAUUCUCCUACAAGCAGUCACAAGCAUUUUUGAAGCCAAUAAGAAAAAAAUAGAAAGUAUCAGCAAAUAAAUAGAAGACAUAAAGAAGAAUCAAAUGGAUAUUUUAGAACAGAAAAAUACAAUAGCCAACAUUUAAAAAAAAUUCACUGGAUGGUUUCAAUAGCAAGGUAAACAUGACAGAGUCAAUGAACUUGUAAAUAGAUCAAUAAAAAUUAACCAAUCUGAACAGCAGAGAGAAAAAAGAUUUGAAAAAACAAUGAGUAGAAUCUCAGAGACCUCUCGGAUAAUGACAAAAGGUGCUGAAAAAUUUAGAAUAAUGGAAGAAAAGGUCUCAAAUUUGGCAAAAGACAAAUCUACAGAUUUAAGAAGUUCAACAAACCCCAAACAGGUUUAACACAUAAAUUUAUACCCAAACACAUCACAAUCAAAAUGCUGAAAAUGAAGACAAAGAAAAAAAUCUUGGAAGUAGCUAGAGAAAUUCAAAGUACUACCUACACACAAACAAUCUGAAUCACAGCAAAUCUCUCAGCAGGAUCCAUGCAAACCACAGAAGUGGCACAAUAAUUUUUUUUUUUUUUUGAGACGGAGUCUUGCUCUGUCGCCCAGACUGGAGUGCAGUGGUGUGAUCUAGGCUCACUGCAAGCUCUGCCUCCUGGGUUCAUGCCAUUCUCCUAUCUCAGCCUCCCAACUAGCUGGAACUACAGGCACCUGCCACCACGCUCGGCUAAUUUUUUUGUAUUUUUAUUAGAGACGGGGUUUCACCAUGUUAGCCAGGAUGGUCUCAAUCUCCUGACCUCAUGAUCCACCCACCUUGGCCUCCCAAAGUGCUGGGAUUACAGGCAUGAGCCACCGCGCCCGGCCAGAAGUGGCACAAUAAUUUUAAAGCACUGAAAGUGUCAACACAGAAUACUACAUCUAGUGAAAAUAUCCAUCAGGAAUUCAGGUGAAAUAAUGGCAUUCUCAUAUGAAGACAAACUAAAAGAAUUCAUUUCUAGCAGAGCUGUUCUAAAAUAAUUGCUAAAGAAAAUUCUUCAGACAGAGGGAAAUGAUACCAGAAGGAAACCUGAAAACAUCAGGAAUGAAGGAAGAGCACCAGAAAUGGUAAAUAUCUGUGUAAAAAUAGUAGUCUAUUCUCCUAUUCUCCUCUUAAGUUUUGUUUGUUUUUUAAAUUA